Molecule: long non-coding RNA, 330 nt
Organism: Neofelis nebulosa (Clouded leopard)
Lineage: Eukaryota; Metazoa; Chordata; Mammalia; Carnivora; Felidae
Exons: 2
Source: RefSeq, a predicted model, not a curated record
GGCAGCCCGGCUCCAAAUCUGAUGCUCCUAACCUUUACAUAUAUUACAGAUUUUGAAAUCUAUGCCUUCCAAACAAUGAAUAUUUAGAUUCUACUCCAGGAUAGGGAAGACUGAAGACAGCAUCAGAAAGUAGCAUACACAUCUUUUCUUCAAGAGUCUUUUAAAUGGAUACCUUAAUAAGUAUCUCAACUCUAAUUUUUUGCCAAGGCCAUUUUUUUAGGAUGUACAACUGAAAAUUUUCAAUGGGGGUGGAAAGACAAGCUCAUUAACAAUUUACAAAAAGCUAUAAUAAUAAAGCUACUAGAACACAGUAUAUCUGAUGAAACUAUA